This 237-nucleotide ribosomal RNA is filed under the name uncultured bacterium. Its description in RNAcentral is "partial 16S ribosomal RNA". It matches the Rfam family "Bacterial small subunit ribosomal RNA", at positions 355 to 583 of the family's 1533-position model. The record is from RNAcentral.
UAGGGAAUCUUCGGCAAUGGGGGCAACCCUGACCGAGCAACGCCGCGUGAGUGAAGAAGGUUUUCGGAUCGUAAAGCUCUGUUGUAAGUCAAGAACGGGUGUGAGAGUGGAAAGUUCACACUGUGACGGUAGCUUACCAGAAAGGGACGGCUAACUACGUGCCAGCAGCCGCGGUAAUACGUAGGUCCCGAGCGUUGUCCGGAUUUAUUGGGCGUAAAGCGAGCGCAGGCGGUUUGA